Molecule: ribosomal RNA, 800 nt
Filed under: uncultured bacterium
Lineage: Bacteria
Description: bacterial SSU rRNA
Rfam family: Bacterial small subunit ribosomal RNA
Source: RNAcentral
AGAGUUUGAUCAUGGCUCAGGACGAACGCUGGCGGCGUGCCUAAUACAUGCAAGUAGAACGCUGACUACUUUAGCUUGCUAGAGUAGAAGGAGUUGCGAACGGGUGAGUAACGCGUAGGUAACCUGCCUACUAGCGGGGGAUAACUAUUGGAAACGAUAGCUAAUACCGCAUAACAGUGUUUAACACAUGUUAGAUGCUUGAAAGAUGCAAAUGCAUCACUAGUAGAUGGACCUGCGUUGUAUUAGCUAGUUGGUGGGGUAACGGCCUACCAAGGCGACGAUACAUAGCCGACCUGAGAGGGUGAUCGGCCACACUGGGACUGAGACGCGGCCCAGACUCCUACGGGAGGCAGCAGUAGGGAAUCUUCGGCAAUGGGGGCAACCCUGACCGAGCAACGCCGCGUGAGUGAAGAAGGUUUUCGGAUCGUAAAGCUCUGUUGUAAGAGAAGAACGUGUGUGAGAGUGGAAAGUUCACACAGUGACGGUAACUUACCAGAAAGGGACGGCUAACUACGUGCCAGCAGCCGCGGUAAUACGUAGGUCCCGAGCGUUGUCCGGAUUUAUUGGGCGUAAAGCGAGCGCAGGCGGGUUUAAUAAGUCUGAAGUUAAAGGCAGUGGCUUAACCAUUGUUCGCUUUGGAAACUGUUAAACUUGAGUGCAGAAGGGGAGAGUGGAAUUCCAUGUGUAGCGGUGAAAUGCGUAGAUAUAUGGAGGAACACCGGUGGCGAAAGCGGCUCUCUGGUCUGUAACUGACGCUGAGGCUCGAAAGCGUGGGGAGCAAACAGGAUUAGAUACCCUGG